RNAcentral lists this ribosomal RNA (461 nucleotides) under uncultured bacterium. Its description in RNAcentral is "bacterial SSU rRNA". It matches the Rfam family "Bacterial small subunit ribosomal RNA", at positions 343 to 796 of the family's 1533-position model. The record is from RNAcentral.
GGGAGGCAGCAGUGAGGAAUAUUGGACAAUGGGCGCAAGCCUGAUCCAGCCAUGCCGCGUGUGUGAAGAAGGCCUUCGGGUUGUAAAGCACUUUUGUCCGGAAAGAAAAGCCUGGGGCUAAUACCCUCGGGUUAUGACGGUACCGGAAGAAUAAGCACCGGCUAACUUCGUGCCAGCAGCCGCGGUAAUACGAAGGGUGCAAGCGUUACUCGGAAUUACUGGGCGUAAAGCGUGCGUAGGUGGUUUGUUAAGUCUGAUGUGAAAGCCCUGGGCUCAACCUGGGAACUGCAUUGGAUACUGGCUUACUAGAGUGCGGUAGAGGGGUGUGGAAUUCCCGGUGUAGCAGUGAAAUGCGUAGAUAUCGGGAGGAACAUCUGUGGCGAAGGCGACACCCUGGACCAGCACUGACACUGAGGCACGAAAGCGUGGGGAGCAAACAGGAUUAGAAACCCUAGUAGUCC